GAUGAAGAACGCAGCGAAAUGCGAUAAGUAGUGUGAAUUGCAGAAGUACCGUGAAUCAUCGAAUCUUUGAACGCAAAUUGCACUCUCUGGUAUUCCGGGGAGUAUGCCUGUUUGAGGGUCGCUUAACAAACCAUCGAUUUCGUUGCUUUUUUUUUAAAAAAGUGAUGUUUAUCGGAUUUGAGCCGUCUUUUUUUUUUAUAUUUAAGUGGCUUAAUUGAUUUUUUUUGGUACGAUCGAAGCGUAUUUUUAUGAUCAAUUUUUGGUUAAAGAAACGCACACGUACCGUUAUUUAUAUGAUGUAAUACGUUUGACUAUCGGAUUUAGUUCAUUCGUAUACGAUAUUUUUCAAUAUUUGACCUCAAAUCAGGUAAGAACACCCGCUGAACUUAAGCAUAUCAAUAAGCGGAGGA
Molecule: unclassified non-coding RNA, 410 nt
Filed under: soil metagenome
Description: partial contains 5.8S ribosomal RNA, internal transcribed spacer 2, and large subunit ribosomal RNA
Rfam family: 5.8S ribosomal RNA (bases 1-121)
Source: RNAcentral